Molecule: long non-coding RNA, 616 nt
Organism: Cheilinus undulatus (humphead wrasse)
Lineage: Eukaryota; Metazoa; Chordata; Actinopteri; Labriformes; Labridae
Exons: 3
Source: RefSeq, a predicted model, not a curated record
UAUCUGGAUGUGUGCCUAACCGGUGCCACACGGGAUCGACGGCCUUAUUCUCUGUCCCAGGAUGACGACAUCAUCAUCACCUUGUUCCUGACUUCCUGUCUCCUGGCGUGGUCCCGGCUGGAAUGUUGGCAGCCAGUCAGACUGACUCGCUAAAACUCUAAACCGCUUUGAAACCAGGCAGUCUGCUGAUGAAGCUUCACUGACUCACCGACCAACAGAAAGGAAGAAGGAGCUCGGCUCGCUUUCUUUCCGAUAAGAAUAGCUCCAUCCAUCCAGCAGAGAGGACACUUCCUGUCUGAGGUCAGCACCAGCAGAGACUCCAUAGAUCUCCUCUGAGUAGAAAGGACUCUUCCUGGGUCGACACGAACAGCAUCACAUCAAGGACACACCUCCAUGUCUCCGUGUCAGAUCUUCUGUUCCAUCUUAAGUCCAAGUGGCUGCUUUUAUUCUUAAAAAUAUUUGAUUAUGAUAGAAAAAGUAAGGAAAUGUGGGUUGUGGUUCGCCAUUAAGGAGAAGACUGUGGGCCCUAAUGUUGGACCAGUUGAUACUUUAGGACACUGAUCAUCAACUGGUGGCCCAAGGGCCAAAUCAGGCCCCCCAAAGCUUUCUGUCCGGC